This 215-nucleotide ribosomal RNA is filed under the name uncultured bacterium. Its description in RNAcentral is "partial 16S ribosomal RNA". It matches the Rfam family "Bacterial small subunit ribosomal RNA", at positions 120 to 334 of the family's 1533-position model. The record is from RNAcentral.
GGUACGGUACGCUCAUACAGGGGGAUAACAGUUGGAAACGGCUGCUAAUACCGCAUAAGCGCACAGUACCGCAUGGUACGGUGUGAAAAACUCCGGUGGUAUGAGAUGGACCCGCGUCUGAUUAGGUAGUUGGUGGGGUAACGGCCUACCAAGCCGACGAUCAGUAGCCGACCUGAGAGGGUGACCGGCCACAUUGGGACUGAGACACGGCCCAA